This 374-nucleotide ribosomal RNA is filed under the name uncultured organism. RNAcentral describes it as "bacterial SSU rRNA". It matches the Rfam family "Bacterial small subunit ribosomal RNA", at positions 526 to 896 of the family's 1533-position model. The record is from RNAcentral.
CGGGGGGAGCAAGCGUUGUUCGGAUUUACUGGGCGUAAAGGGCGCGUAGGCGGCCACGACAAGUCAGUUGUGAAAUCUCUCGGCUUAACCGAGAGCGGUCAACUGAUACUGUCGGGCUAGAGUGCAGAAGGGGCAACUGGAAUUCUCGGUGUAGCGGUGAAAUGCGUAGAUAUCGAGAGGAACACCUGCGGCGAAGGCGGGUUGCUGGGCUGACACUGACGCUGAGGCGCGAAAGCUAGGGGAGCGAACGGGAUUAGAUACCCCGGUAGUCCUAGCCUUAAACGAUGAAUGCUUGGUGUCUCGGGUUUUAUAGUCCCGAGGUGCCGUCGCUAACGCAUUAAGCAUUCCGCCUGGGGAGUACGGUCGCAAGACUG